This 230-nucleotide unclassified non-coding RNA is filed under the name Hevea brasiliensis (rubber tree). Lineage: Eukaryota; Viridiplantae; Streptophyta; Magnoliopsida; Malpighiales; Euphorbiaceae. The record is from RNAcentral.
GUUCUGCCUGUUACUAUCACUGGAGAUGUUACUAGUGCUGCUGCAUUUUGUGACUCAAUGGGCUUUUUGGAAAGCAAGUUGAGUCUUUCCUACUCAGCGUCUGUGUGUGGUAUUGGGUUUUAUGUAAUAGGGCUUGAUGUUCUGUGGGCUUAAUUGUAUUUUUAUAGAUCUGAAUUAUGUAGCUAUUAGCUCUUUUUUGAGCUUUAAUGCAAGAUUAUUGCAGUUCAAAA